UUCAUUAUAUAUAUAUAUCGACUUUCACUAUAUAUAUAUCAACUUUCAUUAUAUAUAUAUCAAGUUUCAUUAUAUAUAUAUAUCAACUUUCAUUAUAUAUAUAUCAAGUUUCAUUAUAUAUAUAUCGACUUUCAUUAUAUAUAUAUAUCAACUUUCAUUAUAUAUAUAUCAAAUCUUUUUUUCCUACCGAGCCCCGGAAGGGACAUGUCCGUAUGGCGAAGCGACAACGAAGGACACUCACCCGGACGAGAAUUUUAUUGAGUUUUAUUUUAAAAUCGGCCUGAAACACACAGACAUUCAAGCAGUGCGAUGCGCUAAGAGUCUGCCAUGCAGACCAGCGAUCCUGAUAAUGUUGUCGGCCUUGGAUGAUGAGGUCCAGUUACCAGGAGCACUAGUCUGCAGCUUACUGGUUCCGUCCUGCAGCUCCUCCACGCUGUCCUCCUCUCUACAGACCAAAUCAAGAAAAGGGAACCAGGAAGCUGCUGUGGAUCCUCUGCAGUAUCUGGAGAGGUCAGAGGAACGGUUCUUGGAACAGAUCGGAAGACACCAAGACGUGACCUCUGCCAUGCUCCAGAACAUCCAGAAGAUGAAUGAAAACCUUGGUUGCACUGAUGGGACGCAUGGUGUCGGUGCUGGAGCAACUGUCCCAGAAUUAAACUGCAUUGUUGACUAUUGGCUUUUCUAGAAAAUAAAUCUUUUUAGUACUUCA
Long non-coding RNA from Acanthochromis polyacanthus (spiny chromis), 709 nucleotides. RefSeq lists it as uncharacterized. NCBI's taxonomy places the organism in Eukaryota, Metazoa, Chordata, Actinopteri, Pomacentridae. The record is from RefSeq and is a predicted model, not a curated record. The transcript has 3 exons.